UGGGGUGGGGUCAGCAGAAGCGGGGAGGGGAGAGACAGAGUGGGGCGGGGCGGAGAGAGAGAGAGAGAGAGAGAGAGAGAGAGAGAGAGAGAGAGAGAGAGAGAGAGAGAGAGAGAGGCACGGCGGAAUAGGGACUUAACAGGAAGGGAGCUCGAGUGGGGGAGGCAGGGAGUAAGAGGGAGGGAGGGAGCUAUACGCAAGUUAAGCGUCUGCGCGGAGAUGUGUGUGUGGUGUCGUGGUGUGGGCUGGCGUUCACAGUGCUGGCACAAGUUGUAAACACACGGUGUGGAGCGGGCGGACAGAAGCACAGCUACCCGCGCUGUGCGACCGCGACCGCAGCCGUGCAGCGUCUUCCCUUUUCGUCUUCUUAAGAGUCACCCUCUCGGCUAGAGCGUCCCCUCUCCCCCCUCUCCCUCAGGCCAGCCUCGCGUCCCAGCAGUGGGCCAGUGUAGCGCCAGUCGGGAGACGCUGCUACGGGAAGUGUGGUGUACGGCACGGCGGCUGUGUGGCGCGUGGGUCAGGUGUGAGGGCUGCUCUCCCUGCCGCUCCCAUUGAUCUGACCGGACUAUUGCCUGUUGCUCCGCGCCAACGGGCCAGACACGCUCGUUGUUUCAACAAGUUGACGCAUAAAACUAGAUACUGUCCAUAAUGACGCAAGGGCCCAAGGUCUGGGCGUCCGGCGCACGGGGCAGUCUCGGCACCUGAGCAGAGGCGUGGUGCGUGCGUGGCCUGUACCUGCCGUGAAGGACGGCCGUGUGUGGCGAGGCAGUAACGGGAGAAUAAUGCCAAAGUGAGUGUUGCUGAUCCGCUCCACGAGGUGCACGUUUCUACACAACACAGUGACGUUCUGUUCAUAUAGUACUCACAGAAAAGAGUACGCGUGUAAGUGUUUGCUUUUUAGUGAUCAGCUUCGAGUGGAGACAGAGCGAGAGGAAAGUCACGUAUAUCCAAGCAUCCCUUUCCGUCCACAAGGCGAGGAGGCAGCCCUGCGCCCCACAACUGUUCCAUUCUGACGCUCAUCCUCCUGCCGUGGGAGGUACGUAUCGUAUGACCUUGGGUUCUACUAGCGAGGUUAUGCGAGUGGUGUGUGUCUGAGCCAUAAAGGAGACAGACUCUCCCUCCACCUGUCCUGCGGCGCUAGUGGGUCUUGCCUCUUCUCUCUUCGUGGUUUUUUGGUGUCAUUUAUUAGUCUUUUUUUUUCCCCUCAGUUAUUUUUCACUUGGUCGUGGUUUGUAGUUGUGUGGCUCCUUGGCUUUACAUUUUUCUGCCUUGAUCUUUUGGUCUUUGGCGUUGAGUCUUGGCGUAAAUGGUUUAUUUAUUCUGCUUGCUUUAAUCAGUUCCUUCUCACUAGAUUUAUCGUAUGGCUGCUGCUCAGGUCAUCAUUAGGGUUCUCCUGCCUCUAAUUCCCAAUGAAAAAAAAAAAACAUACGAAUAAUCGAUUCUUUGUACUUUUUUUAUUUAUAUUUAUUUAUUUACUGAUUUUAUUUUAGCUCCCUCAGUAAUGUGUAAGUAACGUGAAGCUCAAAGGCAGCGUGCAAUGCAGCACUAGAUUACGUCCUGAGCUGGUGCACCUGGGAGCGUCACGCACUUCACAUUUAAACAGUGUAACAAUGAAGCCGUGUAUUUACUAUGAAUGCAUCAAAUAAAAUAGGUACAAAAUUAAUAUAAUAAAGCCUUCCGCGGAAGUGUCAGCCGCCGUGAGUGAGCACCGCCGCCGUGUUGUUGGUGCUGUACCAGGUGUUCCGUGCGACUGCCACUCCGUCACGCGUCACGACUCCCAGAAUAGGAACCUACCGCGGCUGCCUGUCACUGCCAUGGAAAAUCGAACUUUAUUAUUUGACGUAACUUUUUUGUAUUCGUUUUCUAACUUCACUCAACCAGAUGUCUUUUUUUUUUUCUUCUUUUUCUGUUCGUCAUAUGUCAAUGGAAACAGAUUUAAUUUGAUAUAUUUUCAUGGUGCACGUCACCACACUGGGUCCAGUGCGGCACGUGUGAAUUCCUGGCUGGUCAGCAUCACUAUACUGUGCACACUUCACGGCAACAGUUGCAGCCUCUCCGCCAGCCCUCGAGAAUAAUUAACCCGAGACUCUGAAGCAGCAGACUCAGGUGUAAGUGGAACAAGGCGUCCUGCAGCCCUGUGCGAGCGAAACUGCAAUACUAUUAUGUUAGCAAUUCGGCCUCUGGAUGUAGCUAUUAGGGUUCGCACAGAGGUAGAGACUUUAGCUUGGUCGUGAAAAUCCUUGAGAGACACCAUUAUGUGAGCAUGUAAAGGCGAACAUUUUGUCCCAGCUUCAACACACUGAGAAAAGUGAAGCUCCUUUGGUGAAGAAAGAAGAAAACUUCUAUGAGUCUUGGUGUGCAUAUUAUAUCAACUAAGACAUGACCUUCCCUGACGAAGGAAUAAAUAUUUCCUCAAGUGUGGAAGUCUUAGUUGGUAGACAUUCAUGUGCGAGCUGGCCGAAAGGCAUCACAUUGUUGUAAAUAGCUUUUCUAGAUUUCUUUUUCGUUCUAGGCAGGAAUAGGGAUCAGGUAGUACGUAGUAGGGAAGUAAUGUAGGCAAGGAUUUCCUAGUGAGCAUUACGAGGUUGUGCAGAUGUCCUCGGCGGGGGCGGACUGCGUAAGGGUGGGGGGGUUGAGUGAAGGACACUGCAUGGAGCCAGUGCUCGGUGAAUGUCCUCCGUAACUUCACCGUUUUUUUUUUAAUACUGCGAUAAAAAUUAAUGUGUCUGUAAAUCCAAACCCCCUUGCAGUAAGCGACUAUGCUUUAUCGAGAGAAAAUAAAAAUAGUUGCCGGCAAAGCAUUCGCAGGUAUAGUGUUUUCAUCCGUUUACGCCUGUGUAGCACUGCCUGCCAUCCGCCACCAUCCGUCAACACUCUACACCAAGGUCUGCACGUGAUUGACCUUUAGAUUCCACGUCCACGUGUACUGGGUGGUGCCAUCGCCGAACAGUCUUCGGGGAAUAUGUGAAAAUGUAAGAAAGUACAUCACAAAGUUAUUCCCAAAAAUUUACUCAACAGUUAAUACCAUGAAUGCUUUACUAUAACGAGCACGAAACAUGUGAGUGAUGAAAUAUGAACCUGCCCCACGUUUCUUCCCAUCUCCCCGAGCCGCCUUAGACCUUGCAAGUCUCUCUGCUGCCUUGCUCCCGAUCCGGCGGUAAACACGGGGUGAAGCAGCGCAAUUCUGAAGAACAACUUUUUUUUUGAAAACAUAUUUUAUGAUGAAAUAAAUGGUUUUAUAUCUUAUUAUUUUCUUACUUCCUGACAUUUGCAUUGAGUGAAACAUACCCGUUUGCAAGUUCUUAGAUUCGUGUUAUAUUUCUUCCUCCCAAGCUUCUCCUCCAGUCCUUCUCGAGUCGCCCUCUGCUACCACUCACGUGACACCAGCCAGCGUGGCCUCGCACUCAUCCUCCACGGCAAUACUGGCUCAAGUUUGCCAGGAAGUUUGGUCGCGGAAACCGAUAUUCCUGUGGUCUGCCUUGGCGGCUUUCCACUAAGUCUCCUGGGACAUUCAGGAAGAUCAGACCAUCAUCACCUCCUGCAGGUAACAUCACAAUACACACAAGAGUCCGAAGGCCUCCAGAGAACUUUGCUUUUCCAAUUAUGCCUCACGAGUGUGUAAGACAGGACAGGCAACGCAUCACCCUUCCACUCACUGAGUGGCUAACAUACUUGGUCCCGACAUCCACGAAAUGCAAACUGCAGCAGUGGCAGGACAGCAACUCUCGCUUGUGUUAUUAGCAAGCAACUCCUACUGGCAGAGGGAGGGGGUGGGGGGAGGGGAACUUAAUCCUUGCUGAUGGUGAGCGUUGGGCCGGCACCAAUGUAAACAAAGCGACUGGAGGGGGAGGAGGACCAGGCGGAGGGAAGCAAGGGAGGGGCGAAGAAAGAAAGACGAGGGGGAGUGAAGGCGGUUUAUAAAGGUAAACACAAGGCUGACGAGGGGAAGGGACGCCACCACUGCCACCGACGCCUCCUUGCCCUCGUCGUCUCAGUUCACGAUGGCUAUUGAUCUUUACUCCAGCUGAUUAGGGAUUCUUUCCGAGUACACGGGACCUGGAAGAAUCGCCUCCCUCCUCUCGCUCCCUUCCCCUUCGCCCCCUGGCCGGGAUUGGCUGAAGGAACCCAACGUCAGGUGCCAAACGCCUCUGGGUCUUGGUGCAUUCACUGGAUGAAUAAUGCACGUGAUGAGUCCAAGUUGAAACCCCUUCCUAAAAAUGGUUGAAACUUUAACGGUGUAGUUUUGAAAGAUCCUUGAAAUCGCUACAGACUUUUAGUCGUGCACACACACACACACACACACACACACACACACACACACACACACACACACACACACACACACACACACACACACACACACACACACACACAAACACACACACACACACACACACACACACACACACACACACACACACAAA
This is a long non-coding RNA of Scylla paramamosain (green mud crab), 4424 nucleotides long. RefSeq lists it as uncharacterized. The record is from RefSeq and is a predicted model, not a curated record. Lineage: Eukaryota; Metazoa; Arthropoda; Malacostraca; Decapoda; Portunidae. The transcript has 2 exons.